Long non-coding RNA from Oryzias latipes (Japanese medaka), 2887 nucleotides. RefSeq lists it as uncharacterized. The record is from RefSeq and is a predicted model, not a curated record. Lineage: Eukaryota; Metazoa; Chordata; Actinopteri; Beloniformes; Adrianichthyidae.
UGGUGACCUGAGGGGGGCAGAGAAAUGUGGACAUGAGAGAAGAACAGCUUCUAGUGGGAAGGACUCAUCGAUACACAACUGUCUGGCUGCUGACUCGGAGGACCACAAAUGAUGUGUCCGUCACAUUCCUUUAAAGGCUGCCACCCAGAAGAUAAAACCCCGGAAAAUGCUAAUCCUCCCACUAAACUGGUGGUUAUUGGAGGAGCCCAAACGUAAAGGAGGAGUGCUGAGCCAAUAAGGUUCUGUCAGUGGUUCUGAACGCACCGCAGGGAAAACGUGAGCGUUCAUGAGCGGACACAGGGGUCUGCUCCAACUAAGGUGAAUACAGUUUGAUGCUUUCAUUCGACACAAGCACCUGUUUCAAGUGAACGACAACUAAACUUUCUGUCAGAUUCCAACAGGUUGGAAGCCUCUGCUUGAUGACAGCUUAACAGGAUGAACUUUUUUUAUUUUUUUUAAAAACAAACUCGUUUUUUUUUCUCAAAUUAUGUUUAUUUAUUUAUUUUUCCUUUAUUUUAUUUUCGUUUUUACAAAAUCAGAAAGGCGUUCAGGUGAGUAGAACAGACCUAAUACAAUAUUACAUUUAUGUUGGCACUGCGGCAUUAAAAAAAAACAAAUCCCUGUGAGGCUGAUGAUUAAACCAAAAGUGACACUUUAGCUGACAUUUUCAUCAAGUAUAUGGAAGCACUGGGGGUUUAUUUAUGACCAGUUUCCCUGCUCAGAUACAGAACACCCCAUAAUAUUAUGUACUGCAUUCAUUAUAAAGACUGUGGGAAGAUGAUGGCUGACAAUAGUUCCGUUCCUUCACGAUUUUUGGGGUGUUUUUAGGAUUUCUGAGGUAGUAAGCAGCACUGACAAAACUCCUCAUUGAUCUCAGUGAUCUCUUUCUUCAUGAUUGGUUAACAGCAUCUGUAAAUCUACAGCAUGAUCCCAAUAGCAGCGUUCUUAAUGCAUUUACACCUAAAUUACCAACAUUAUAGGUUGAAAAGAUCAAUUGUAACUAUAAAAAAAGAUGUUGACACACUGAGGAUUGAUUCAUUUUUCUUAUGUUUGAACCAAAAAUGUAAAUAUACUUAGCAUUAAUUCUGUUUUCUUUUAUUAUUUAUUUAUCUAAUUGUAUUUCAUCUCAACGUCCAGUUUUCUCUUCGGUGCUUUGAGUCUGAAAUUAAACGUAUCAUUCAACACAGAAGAAAAUGAUGAAAAAAAAACUGUGUCAAAUAGAAAAAUCACUUGGACUAAACACUUAUAACUCCACCUGUUAAUAAAGUCAUUAUUAUAACAUAAUUGCAUAAACUGUAAAUGUAAAAGUUCACCUUUAGCAUUAUUGCUACUUCACUGAAUUUUUUUGUGCAUCUUUACAUGAUUCUUUUUACAGUGCGUUGUGUUCUGCACUCUGAUUGGCUGGUGUCUCCUAUACAGGAUGCGUUCUGUUUUCCAAGUAACUACGAAUCUUCAAAAGUUCUCAGCACCUUCUUUGAUUUUGAGCUCUUUGCGGAUCUCCCGGCGGAUCUGCUCUUUGAUCUCGUCCAGCUUCUGCUGGACCAUGGAGUCAGACAAGUCCAGGUUCUGACCCAGGCCGAGUCGCUCUGCCACCAGCUGGCCCCUGGCAUCCCCCUGGAGGACAGCAUGACAGUAGAGGACCAUUGACACAAACAGGAAGAUAAACCGUCUGAGCAGCGACAGCCAAAUCCCUCUUAGCCUCUCCCCCCUGUGAGGUCAGAGCGGUCCAGAAUGGGACCUAAUCUCGCUCCAAGGAGAGAGCGGGCUAAAAUUACCGGCAGGUUAAAAACAACGCCCACACAAAACUACUACCUGCUCUCUUAUCACCACAACUCACAGUCCAAGGAGGAGACACGCCGAAGUAUCGGACACGACAAAUCCACCCAGACUUUCAGAUGGAUUUCAGGAAGAAACCAGUAUUUUACCUGAUUGUUGGAUUCAUUGUUACGUCAACCAUCAACAUGCAACCAGCCAGUUUAAAAAGCUUGUUGUUAAAAUUGUGUCAUAACUUUAUGUACCAUCUGUCAUUACGGGUUAUUAUUUAUACGUUUUAAAAAAAUCUUCUCCCUCAAGAGGAGAAAAAUGGGACCAAAUUUUGAUUGUCUGUAUCUAAAAAACUACUGAAGCCAAUGUUAUGUCAUUUGGUGACCAGUAACUUUGAAAUAUUCUACUUCAACUAAAGCAAAAUCAGCUCAAUAGCGCCACCACGUGGCCAGGUAUAGCACAUAACACGUUGAAGUCUUUGCUUCUUUUACCGCAAGUCGUAGAAACAGAACUCCUAUUAGUGAUUUCUUGGAUCCGGUAGAAAUUAUUUUAACCAGACCACACACUUCCUUCGUUCGACAUUUUCUACUAACAAAAAGAUAACAAAACUGUACUGCCACCUUGUGGUUACUUAUAAGAUUAACAGUUGGGCUGUGUCUUCUGAAUUAUAACAUCACACUGUAUUUUCUCCUUAUUGCUAAUAAUCCCCUCAAAAUGCCUACUUCACCAUGACGCCAUUGGAUGUCAGGGAUAUUUUGCAAAACAAACUUUUGGUUGGAUAUCUAAUGUAAUCUAUACAAUCUUUACUUAAUUUGUUUCUAACCUAUCUGGAGCGCCCCAAACUAAUCCCGAAGAAUUUUCAUAAAAACUGCUUUUCAAAGUGGCCUUCCAGUAUGUAAUGCUACCCCCAAUUAGCAAAAACGGAAACAGGUUUUCCAGUUAAGCUUCUGAGGAGGUUGUGUAGAAACUGGAAAAUAGACGGAGCUGCAACAUGUUCCUUCAUCUUAAAGACCCACUCCAAUGAAAAUGGUGUUUUUAGUGUUUUUAACAUGUUCUUGUAGCCUUUUUCUGAUAAUAAGAGGACAUCUGUAAUGAAAAUUAAGAUUAAAACCUAAUUUCUGAG